AUUGAACGCUGGCGGCAUGCCUUACACAUGCAAGUCGAACGGCAGCACGGGUGCUUGCACCUGGUGGCGAGUGGCGAACGGGUGAGUAAUACAUCGGAACGUACCUUAUCGUGGGGGAUAACGCAGCGAAAGCUGUGCUAAUACCGCAUACGCCCUGAGGGGGAAAGCGGGGGAUCGCAAGACCUCGCGCGAUUAGAGCGGCCGAUGCCUGAUUAGCUUGUUGGGGGGGUAAAAGCCCACCAAGGCGACGAUCAGUAGCUGGUCUGAGAGGACGAUCAGCCACACUGGGACUGAGACACGGCCCAGACUCCUACGGGAGGCAGCAGUGGGGAAUUUUGGACAAUGGGGGCAACCCUGAUCCAGCAAUGCCGCGUGAGUGAAGAAGGCCUUCGGGUUGUAAAGCUCUUUUGUCAGGGAAGAAACACCGGCUCUAACACAGUCCGGGAAUGACGGUACCUGAAGAAGAAGCCCCGGCUAACUUCGUGCCAGCCGCCGCCGUAA
RNAcentral lists this ribosomal RNA (501 nucleotides) under uncultured bacterium. RNAcentral's name for it is "partial 16S ribosomal RNA". It matches the Rfam family "Bacterial small subunit ribosomal RNA", at positions 29 to 523 of the family's 1533-position model. The record is from RNAcentral.